This 301-nucleotide ribosomal RNA is filed under the name uncultured bacterium. RNAcentral describes it as "partial 16S ribosomal RNA". It matches the Rfam family "Bacterial small subunit ribosomal RNA", at positions 509 to 808 of the family's 1533-position model. The record is from RNAcentral.
CAGCAGCCACGGUAAUACGUAGGUCCCGAGCGUUGUCCGGAUUUAUUGGGCGUAAAGGGAGCGCAGGCGGUUUAGUAAGUCUGAAGUUAAAGGCAUUGGCUCAACCAAUGUAUGCUUUGGAAACUGUUAGGCUUGAGUGCAGAAGGGGAGAGUGGAAUUCCAUGUGUAGCGGUGAAAUGCGUAGAUAUAUGGAGGAACACCGGUGGCGAAAGCGGCUCUCUGGUCUGUCACUGACGCUGAGGCUCGAAAGCGUGGGUAGCGAACAGGAUUAGAUACCCGAGUAGUCCCUGUCUCUUAUACA